AAAUUGAAGAGUUUGAUCAUGGCUCAGAUUGAACGCUGGCGGCAGGCCUAACACAUGCAAGUCGAACGGUAACAGGAAGAAGCUUGCUUCUUUGCUGACGAGUGGCGGACGGGUGAGUAAUGUCUGGGAAACUGCCUGAUGGAGGGGGAUAACUACUGGAAACGGUAGCUAAUACCGCAUAACGUCGCAAGACCAAAGAGGGGGACCCUCGGGCCUCUUGCCAUCGGAUGUGCCCAG
RNAcentral lists this ribosomal RNA (237 nucleotides) under Escherichia coli. Its description in RNAcentral is "partial 16S ribosomal RNA". It matches the Rfam family "Bacterial small subunit ribosomal RNA", at positions 1 to 234 of the family's 1533-position model. The record is from RNAcentral. Lineage: Bacteria; Pseudomonadati; Pseudomonadota; Gammaproteobacteria; Enterobacterales; Enterobacteriaceae.